This 314-nucleotide long non-coding RNA is filed under the name Panicum hallii. RNAcentral's name for it is "long non-coding RNA (PHAL_LNC000436)". Lineage: Eukaryota; Viridiplantae; Streptophyta; Magnoliopsida; Poales; Poaceae. The record is from RNAcentral.
UUUAUUUUUAUAUAGUAUAGAGCGGUAAGUUAGUGCUGUUCUAAGGAAGUGGUAGCUGUUCCAGUACACAAAGAAGGGAGAUUUGUGUAACCCGAGCUCUUUGAUCAAGACGGUGUGGCCAAAGUCAAUCCUUUGAGAAAAAAGUCAUGUAUUUUCGUUGGCUAUAGUGAUCAGCACAAGGGGUACUGCUGUUAUGAUCCCCGCACGCAGAAAAAACUCAUCUCAAGACAUGUCACAUUUGAUGAAACACGAUUUGCCUCGCUACCCCUUGCGCCUCUUCUCGGGGAGAGAUACACACACGCGCGAUGACUGCU